AGUGGCGGACGGGUGAGUAACGCGUGAGAAUCUGCCCUCAGGAGGGGGAUAACAGUUGGAAACGACUGCUAAUACCCCAUAUGCCGAGAGGUGAAACGAAUUUCGCCUGGGGAUGAGCUCGCGUCUGAUUAGCUUGUUGGUGGGGUAAUGGCUUACCAAGGCUUCGAUCAGUAGCUGGUCUGAGAGGACGAUCAGCCACACUGGGACUGAGACACGGCCCAGACUCCUACGGGAGGCAGCAGUGGGGAAUUUUCCGCAAUGGGCGCAAGCCUGACGGAGCAACGCCGCGUGAGGGAUGGAGGCCUUUGGGCUGUAAACCUCUUUUCUCAAGGAAGAAGAUCUGACGGUACUUGAGGAAUAAGCCACGGCUAAUUCCGUGCCAGCAGCCGCGGUAAUACGGGAGUGGCAAGCGUUAUCCGGAAUUAUUGGGCGUAAAGCGUCCGCAGGCGGCCGUUUAAGUCUGUUGUUAAAUCGUGGAGCUCAACUCCAUCACGGCAAUGGAAACUGUUCGGCUUGAGUAUGGUAGGGGCAGAGGGAAUUUCCGGUGUAGCGGUGAAAUGCGUAGAUAUCGGGAAGAACACCAGUGGCAAAAGCGCUCUGCUGGGCCAUUACUGACGCUCAUGGACGAAAGCCAGGGGAGCGAAAGGGAUUAGAUACCCCUGUAGUCCUGGCCGUAAACGAUGAACACUAGAUGUUGGGGGAAUCGACCCCCUCGGUGUCGUAGCUAACGCGUUAAGUGUUCCGCCUGGGGAGUACGCACGCAAGUGUGAAACUCAAAGGAAUUGACGGGGGCCCGCACAAGCGGUGGAGUAUGUGGUUUAAUUCGAUGCAACGCGAAGAACCUUACCAAGGCUUGACAUCCUGCGAAUCUCCAAGAAAUUGGAGAGUGCCUUUUGGAACGCAGUGACAGGUGGUGCAUGGCUGUCGUCAGCUCGUGUCGUGAGAUGUUGGGUUAAGUCCCGCAACGAGCGCAACCCACGUUUUUAGUUGCCAGCAUUCAGUUGGGCACUCUAGAAAGACUGCCGGUGACAAACCGGAGGAAGGUGUGGACGACGUCAAGUCAUCAUGCCCCUUACGCCUUGGGCUACACACGUACUACAAUGCUGCGGACAAAGAGUAGCGAUCUUGCGAAAGUUAGCUAAUCUCGUAAACUGUGGCUCAGUUCAGAUCGUAGGCUGCAACUCGCCUACGUGAAGGAGGAAUCGCUAGUAAUCGCAGGUCAGCAUACUG
This 1230-nucleotide ribosomal RNA is filed under the name uncultured bacterium. RNAcentral describes it as "bacterial SSU rRNA". It matches the Rfam family "Bacterial small subunit ribosomal RNA", at positions 94 to 1359 of the family's 1533-position model. The record is from RNAcentral.